GACGAACGCUGGCGGCGUGCUUAACACAUGCAAGUCGAACGGAAAGGCCCUGCUUUUGUGGGGUGCUCGAGUGGCGAACGGGUGAGUAACACGUGAGUAACCUGCCCUUGACUUUGGGAUAACUUCAGGAAACUGGGGCUACUACCGGAUAGGAGAUCCUGCUGCAUGGUGGGGGUUGGAAAGUUUCGGCGGUUGGGGAUGGACUCGCGGCUUAUGAGCUUGUUGGUGGGGUAGUGGCUUACCAAGGCUGUGACGGGUAGCCGGCCUGGGAGGGUGACCGGCCACAUUGGGACUGAGAGACGGCCCAGACUCCUACGGGAGGCAGCAGGGGGGAAUAUGGCACAAUGGGCGGAAGCCUGAUGCAGCAACGCCGCGUGCGUGAUGACGGCCUUCGGGUUGUAAACCGCUUUCGCCUGUGACGAAGCGUGAGUGACGGUAAUGGGUAAAGAAGCACCGGCUAACUACGUG
Molecule: ribosomal RNA, 468 nt
Filed under: uncultured bacterium
Lineage: Bacteria
Description: partial 16S ribosomal RNA
Rfam family: Bacterial small subunit ribosomal RNA
Source: RNAcentral